This 386-nucleotide ribosomal RNA is filed under the name Odhneripisidium parvum. RNAcentral's name for it is "partial 16S rRNA". It matches the Rfam family "Bacterial large subunit ribosomal RNA", at positions 1903 to 2542 of the family's 2925-position model. The record is from RNAcentral. Lineage: Eukaryota; Metazoa; Mollusca; Bivalvia; Venerida; Sphaeriidae.
AUUUUUGACAAGAAAUUUUUUUAAACGGCUGCAAUUAAUAAUUGUGCUAAGGUAGCGUAAUCAUUUGCCCUCUAAUUAGGGGAAGGUAUGAAUGGUUUGACGUGGGAAAAACUGUCUCUUCUGCAUAUGAAGAAGUUUAUUUUUGAGUGAAAAAGCUUAGAUGGUUUUAAAAGACGAGAAGACCCUAUCGAACUUGAAUUAGGUAUUUAAAUUUUUUAAGUAUUGAAAGUUUAGUUGGGGAAACUUAAAGUAAAAAAAAACGCUUUAUUUUUUUGUAAAGAUCCUGUAUUAUGGAAAAACGAAAAAGUUACCGUAGGGAUAACAGCGCUUUCUUCUCUGAGAGGACUAAUUAAAGAGUUGGUUGCGACCUCGAUGUUGGAUUAAAA